UACGGAGGGUGCGAGCGUUGUCCGGAAUCACUGGGCGUAAAGGGCGCGUAGGCGGCUUCUCAAGCGUGUGGUGAAAGUCCGGGGCUCAACCCCGGAUCGGCCGUGCGGACUGGGGAGCUCGAGUUCUGUAGAGGCGGGUGGAAUUCCGGGUGUAGCGGUGGAAUGCGUAGAGAUCCGGAAGAACACCGGUGGCGAAGGCGGCCCGCUGGGCAGAGACUGACGCUGAGGCGCGACAGCGUGGGGAGCAAACAGG
Molecule: ribosomal RNA, 253 nt
Filed under: uncultured bacterium
Lineage: Bacteria
Also listed under: 1 other name
Description: partial 16S ribosomal RNA
Rfam family: Bacterial small subunit ribosomal RNA
Source: RNAcentral